GAGUGAAUAAAUGAAGACUCGGCACACACUUCUGAAAGGUUGCCGACCCCUGACCUACUCAAUACUUCGAAUAGAGAACAUUUUCCUCAUAGAUGAAGUGAAAGGUCCCGGAUGAACAGCUCUUGCGACUGCAGCCCUCUGUCUAUCCCCGCAAAUCCAUAUAGGACCAAAGAGGCGGGGGAACCUUUAUCUGUGAGAACAUUGUGACUGACUCUGGAAAGGCUUACUCUGUCAAUUAAGGCUUCGGCUCCUUCCCGGACUGCCCCGGCAUCCCCCUCG
Long non-coding RNA from Mauremys reevesii (Reeves's turtle), 279 nucleotides. RefSeq lists it as uncharacterized. The transcript has 4 exons. The record is from RefSeq and is a predicted model, not a curated record. NCBI's taxonomy places the organism in Eukaryota, Metazoa, Chordata, Testudines, Geoemydidae.